AGAAGUGACAUAUGCAGCAUGACCAGUGGAAGCUUCGAAGAGCUAUUGCCAAUUUCCACCCUCUCUCUGGAAACUGUCAUUAGGGUUAGGGAAACUGUCAUGAGAUCUGCAUAUUUUAGAUAGAGGCUGCUUGCCUUAUUUGGGCACCUAAUGAAAAAGACAUGGAGGCCAGGUGCGGUGGCUCAUGUCUGUAAUCCCAGCACUUUGGGAGGCCAAGGCGAGUGGAUCACCUGAGGUCAGGAGUUCGAGACCAGCCUGACCAACAUGGCAAAACCCCGUCUGUACUAAAAGUGCAAACACAAAGGGAACUGCGUGGCUUGUUUCUACCUGAACAUUGUCAAGUGAUUUCAUCCUUUGAAACACAGUUGUGAAGUGUGUCCAGCAGUCUGAGAACAAGAAGAAGAAGAAAAUCUAAUCCUUCAGGGUGUCUGUGUGCCAGCCCUGCUCUCAGCACUUCCCAUGUGGAACUCCUUUACUUCUCCUAACAACUCCAUGACAUGGGUUAGACUGUGAUUGUUCCCAUAUUGUUGGUAGGGAAACUGAGGCAUGCAGGUGUUACAGAGCUCUCUCAAGUGGCAAGCUUUCUGGGUGGUUACAGAGUGGCAGAGCUGGGGUAUCCCAUGAUGUCACCACACUGCUAUAUGGAAAAGAACAUUAAUCGAGCACCUACGUGCUUGAUUCUCUUAAUUCUGUGACUGAACUCUCAAAACACCCUGGGUAAGCACUAUCAUCUCCUAUUUUCACAAGUGAAAAAACUGGGAUUCAAAAAAAUUAAGUGACUUACCAAAUAUUACAGAGCUAGUAAGCCAAGACUUGAACACUGAGAUGGAAUUCUACCUUUUAAGGUGGCUAAGCAACAGAAGGAUGUUCCUUUCCCAAGGGGGUAAGAAGCAGUGGCCAUGUUCAGCACAAUUGUCCUAUCACAGGUUCAUGGCAGGGACCGAGCAGUGAGGAUGGGCACUGCCCUGUGUCCUAGCAGAGGGCUGCCUUCUGGCUCCCCAGCCUUGGCCAGCAGCCCUUCUAUCUUCAUGCCAUGACCUAUUUUUGUUCACCCAGUUAGUGUAUGGCCUAUUUCUUUCCUUAAGAAUUACUUCAUAACUUUCACAGAGUAAUAGCACAUGCUGAGCACAGCAUUCAUGAACUUGGACACACGCACACAAAAUGUCCCUUUAAAUUCACAGAGCAGUAUCUGAGAUCCAGGUAGAAAGACCAAAAGGAAAAUUAAGAACAGACUCUCAGACCUGCCUUCCCUUUGCAUUCAGACACAGAGGGAUUGAAAUGCAUAACAAUAGAGAUGAAACACGAAGAGUGAUAAAUGAAGAUUGAGUGUGCACACCUUCUGGAGGAGCCCUGAUUGAGUAUUUUAAAAUACUACUAAAGUCAUGCCGUGUGACUUCUGAAGCUAGCUCCUAAGAAGUCCUUGCAGCUUCUGCCUGCGACUCUUAGAACACUUGCUUUGAAGGAUGCCAGAUGCUGUCUUAAAAGUCUGAGCACUCUGAAACCAUCAUGCUGUGAGGAAGCCCAAGCUAACCACAUGGGCAAAAAAGAUGCCCUCUGACUGCCACCAUUUGAGACACUCUAAUUAAGAACUGCCUCAUUGAGCCCAUGAGGCCCUGUGAAUGAUAAUAAUAAAUUGUUUUUAACCACUAUGUUUUUGGAUUUGUUAUAAGUUUAUAGAUAACAAGAAAAAGUUAUAUUAGCAUGGUAAUAAAAUUAUGGAUAUGUGUAA
Molecule: long non-coding RNA, 1729 nt
Organism: Homo sapiens (human)
Lineage: Eukaryota; Metazoa; Chordata; Mammalia; Primates; Hominidae
Product: long intergenic non-protein coding RNA 964
Source: Ensembl